This 678-nucleotide ribosomal RNA is filed under the name Pilorcula trifilaris. Its description in RNAcentral is "partial 12S ribosomal RNA". Lineage: Eukaryota; Metazoa; Mollusca; Gastropoda; Stylommatophora; Orculidae. The record is from RNAcentral.
CCAAAAAUGGUAUUUAACCCUUUUUAGAUACCCACUAAAUUUGAUAGGCCAAAUUUCUAAAGUGUGCUGUAUAUAUAUGAAAAUUGAUUUACUUUCAGUUAUUAAAAUUAAACUAUAAUAGCCAUAUUAAUUUAGACCCCCACUUAACUUAGAAGAUCCAUUAGGUGCCAGCAAUCGCGGUUAUACCUAACAUCUAUUAGAAAUUAAUUACUAAAACUGUAGAUAUAAUUUAAAUAGUUUAAUUUAUUGGUGAAAUAAAAUUUUUAACUUAGUACUUUAAUAAAUUAAUUGCCUUUUGAGCUGUCGAUAACUGCCUAAAAACAAGGAUUAGAUACCCUUUUAUUUUGUUAUUUACUACAAUUUUAGAGGAGUAUUGCAUCAAAAACUCAAAAAUUAUGGCGGCUAUUAAAAACUAUCAGGGGAACUUACCCUUUAAUUGAUAACCCCCAAGCUUAAAUAACUUUAGUUUGAUCGUCUGUAUGCCGUCGUUUUAAGCUAAAUUUAGUUUAGCUUGAUUAGUAAAAAAUCCAAAACAGAUCAAGGUGCAGCUUAUGCUGAAGAUUGGGCGAGUUACAGUAAUAAUAUAUUAUCGGACUUAUAUAACAAUUAUAUAAUAAAGAUGGACUUGUAAGUAACAACCAAUUUAUUAAUAAGUUGUGAAUGACUGUUUAAUAGUGC